GGGGCUAUAGCUCAGUUGGUAGAGUGCCUGCCUUGCAUGCAUAAGGCCCUCGGUUUAAUCCCUGGGCCCUGGGUUCAAUUCCCAUCACCCCCA
Molecule: transfer RNA, 93 nt
Filed under: Ictidomys tridecemlineatus (thirteen-lined ground squirrel)
Lineage: Eukaryota; Metazoa; Chordata; Mammalia; Rodentia; Sciuridae
Description: Spermophilus tridecemlineatus (thirteen-lined ground squirrel) tRNA
Rfam family: tRNA
About the family: Transfer RNA (tRNA) molecules are approximately 80 nucleotides in length.
Source: Rfam by way of RNAcentral